GACGAACGCUGGCGGCGUGCUUAACACAUGCCAGUCGAACGAAGAGCGACGGAAGCUUGCUUCUCUCAAUCUUAGUGGCGACCGGGUGAGUAACGCGUAAUCAACCUGCCCUUCAGAGGGGGACAACAGUUGGAAACGACUGCUAAUACCGCAUACGAUCUAACCUCGGCAUCGAGGAUAGAUGAAAGGUGGCCUCUACAUGUAAGCUAUCACUGAAGGAUGGGAUUGCGUCUGAUUAGCUAGUUGGAGGGGUAACGGCCCACCAAGGCGAUGAUCAGUAGCCGGUCUGAGAGGAUGAACGGCCACAUUGGGACUGAGACACGGCCCAGACUCCUACGGGAGGCAGCAGUGGGGAAUCUUCCGCAAUGGACGAAAGUCUGACGGAGCAACGCCGCGUGAGUGAUGACGGCCGUCGGGUUGUAAAGCUCUGUUAAUCGGGACGAAAGGCCUUCUUGCGAAUAGUGAGAAGGAUUGACGGUACCGGAAUAGAAAGCCACGGCUAACUACGUG
This 510-nucleotide ribosomal RNA is filed under the name uncultured bacterium. RNAcentral's name for it is "partial 16S ribosomal RNA". It matches the Rfam family "Bacterial small subunit ribosomal RNA", at positions 28 to 507 of the family's 1533-position model. The record is from RNAcentral.